This 758-nucleotide ribosomal RNA is filed under the name uncultured bacterium. Its description in RNAcentral is "bacterial SSU rRNA". It matches the Rfam family "Bacterial small subunit ribosomal RNA", at positions 28 to 776 of the family's 1533-position model. The record is from RNAcentral.
AUUGAAGCUGGCGGCAGGCCUAACACAUGGAAGACAGGGGGUAACAGGGAGAAGCUUGCUUCUCUGCUGACGAGCGGCGGACGGGUGAGUAAUGUAUGGGGAUCUGCCUGAUGGCGGGGGAUAACUACUGGAAACGGUAGCUAAUACCGCAUAAUGUCUUCGGACCAAAGCGGGGGACCUUCGGGCCUCGCGCCAUCAGAUGAACCCAUAUGGGAUUAGCUAGUAGGUGAGGUAACGGCUUACCUAGGCGACGAUCCCUAGCUGGUCUGAGAGGAUGAUCAGCCACACUGGGACUGAGACACGGCCCAGACUCCUACGGGAGGCAGCAGUGGGGAAUAUUGCACAAUGGGCGCAAGCCUGAUGCAGCCAUGCCGCGUGUAUGAAGAAGGCCUUCGGGUUGUAAAGUACUUUCGGUGGUGAGGAAGGUUGUAAUGUUAAUAGCAUUAUAAUUUGGCGUUAGCCACAGAAGAAGCACCGGCUAACUCCGUGCCAGCAGCCGCGGUAAUACGGAGGGUGCGAGCGUUAAUCGGAAUAACUGGGCGUAAAGGGCACGCAGGCGGAUACUUAAGUGAGGUGUGAAAGCCCUGGGCUUAACCUAGGAAUUGCAUUUCAUACUGGGUAUCUAGAGUAUUUUAGGGAGGGGUAGAAUUCCACGUGUAGCGGUGAAAUGCGUAGAGAUGUGGAGGAAUACCGAAGGCGAAAGCAGCCCCUUGGGGGAAUACUGACGCUCAUGUGCGAAAGCGUGGGGAGCAAACAGG